CACGUAGUUAGCCGGGGCUUCUUAGUCAGGCACCGUCAUUAUCUUCCCUGCUGAUAGAGCUUUACAUACCGAAAUACUUCUUCACUCACGCGGCGUCGCUGCAUCAGGGUUUCCCCCAUUGUGCAAUAUUCCCCACUGCUGCCUCCCGUAGGAGUCUGGGCCGUGUCUCAGUCCCAAUGUGGCCGUUCACUCUCUCAAGCCGGCUACUGAUCGUCGCCUUGGUAGGCCGUUACCCCACCAACAAGCUAAUCAGACGCGGGUCCAUCUCACAGCGAUAAAUCUUUGAAAGGAUCGUCAUGCGGCAAUCCCUUGUUAUGCGGUAUUAGCAGCCGUUUCCGGCUGUUCGUCCCCCUCUGUGAGGUCACGGUUACCCACGCGUUACUCACCCGUCCGCCACUCAGUCAUUACCAUCCUUCCCGUACCGUAAAACGUUCCGUACGGUACGCGUCUUCGUUCGACUUGCUAUGUUGUUAAGCCUACGCCGCCAGUCGUUACACUCCUAGACGCCAGGUACUACGUAAA
This 522-nucleotide ribosomal RNA is filed under the name uncultured Lachnospiraceae bacterium. RNAcentral's name for it is "partial 16S ribosomal RNA". The record is from RNAcentral. Lineage: Bacteria; Bacillati; Bacillota; Clostridia; Lachnospirales; Lachnospiraceae.